This 530-nucleotide ribosomal RNA is filed under the name uncultured bacterium. RNAcentral describes it as "partial 16S ribosomal RNA". It matches the Rfam family "Bacterial small subunit ribosomal RNA", at positions 355 to 876 of the family's 1533-position model. The record is from RNAcentral.
UAGGGAAUCUUCCACAAUGGACGCAAGUCUGAUGGAGCAACGCCGCGUGAGUGAAGAAGGUUUUCGGAUCGUAAAGCUCUGUUGUUGGUGAAGAAGGAUAGAGGCAGUAACCGGUCUUUAUUCGACGGUAAUCAACCAGAAAGUCACGGCUAACUACGUGCCAGCAGCCGCGGUAAUACGUAGGUGGCAAGCGUUGUCCGGAUUUAUUGGGCGUAAAGCGAGCGCAGGCGGAAUGAUAAGUCUGAUGUGAAAGCCCACGGCUCAACCGUGGAACUGCAUCGGAAACUGUCAUUCUUGAGUGCAGAAGAGGAGAGUGGAACUCCAUGUGUAGCGGUGGAAUGCGUAGAUAUAUGGAAGAACACCAGUGGCGAAGGCGGCUCUCUGGUCUGCAACUGACGCUGAGGCUCGAAAGCAUGGGUAGCGAACAGGAUUAGAUACCCUGGUAGUCCAUGCCGUAAACGAUGAGCGCUGGGUGUUGGGGACUUUCCGGUCCUCAGUGCCGCAGCAAACGCAUUAAGCGCUCCGCCUGG